Molecule: ribosomal RNA, 506 nt
Filed under: Salmonella enterica subsp. enterica serovar Infantis
Lineage: Bacteria; Pseudomonadati; Pseudomonadota; Gammaproteobacteria; Enterobacterales; Enterobacteriaceae
Also listed under: 1 other name
Description: bacterial SSU rRNA
Rfam family: Bacterial small subunit ribosomal RNA
Source: RNAcentral
AAAUUGAAGAGUUUGAUCAUGGCUCAGAUUGAACGCUGGCGGCAGGCCUAACACAUGCAAGUCGAACGGUAACAGGAAGCAGCUUGCUGCUUCGCUGACGAGUGGCGGACGGGUGAGUAAUGUCUGGGAAACUGCCUGAUGGAGGGGGAUAACUACUGGAAACGGUGGCUAAUACCGCAUAACGUCGCAAGACCAAAGAGGGGGACCUUCGGGCCUCUUGCCAUCAGAUGUGCCCAGAUGGGAUUAGCUUGUUGGUGAGGUAACGGCUCACCAAGGCGACGAUCCCUAGCUGGUCUGAGAGGAUGACCAGCCACACUGGAACUGAGACACGGUCCAGACUCCUACGGGAGGCAGCAGUGGGGAAUAUUGCACAAUGGGCGCAAGCCUGAUGCAGCCAUGCCGCGUGUAUGAAGAAGGCCUUCGGGUUGUAAAGUACUUUCAGCGGGGAGGAAGGUGUUGCGGUUAAUAACCGCAGCAAUUGACGUUACCCGCAGAAGAAGCACCGG